Molecule: ribosomal RNA, 474 nt
Filed under: uncultured bacterium
Lineage: Bacteria
Description: partial 16S ribosomal RNA
Rfam family: Bacterial small subunit ribosomal RNA
Source: RNAcentral
GACGAACGCUGGCGGCGUGCUUAACACAUGCAAGUCGAACGGUAAGGCCCUUCGGGGUACACGAGUGGCGAACGGGUGAGUAACACGUGGGUAAUCUGCCCUGCACAUCGGGAUAAGCCUGGGAAACUGGGUCUAAUACCGAAUAGGACCACAGGACACAUGUCCUGUGGUGGAAAGCUUUUGCGGUGUGGGAUGGGCCCGCGGCCUAUCAGCUUGUUGGUGGGGUGAUGGCCUACCAAGGCGACGACGGGUAGCCGGCCUGAGAGGGUGUCCGGCCACACUGGGACGGAGAUACGGCCCAGACUGCUACGGGAGGCAGCAGUGGGGAAUAUUGCACAAUGGGCGAAAGCCUGAUGCAGCGACGCCGCGUGGGGGAUGACGGCCUUCGGGUUGUAAACCUCUUUCACCAUCGACGAAGGUCCGGGUUUUCUCGGGCUGACGGUAGGUGGAGAAGAAGCACCGGCCAACUACGUG